Molecule: ribosomal RNA, 353 nt
Filed under: uncultured Streptococcus sp.
Lineage: Bacteria; Bacillati; Bacillota; Bacilli; Lactobacillales; Streptococcaceae
Description: bacterial SSU rRNA
Rfam family: Bacterial small subunit ribosomal RNA
Source: RNAcentral
UAGGGAAUCUUCGGCAAUGGGGGGCAACCCUGACCGAGCAACGCCGCGUGAGUGAAGAAGGUUUUCGGAUCGUAAAGCUCUGUUGUAAGAGAAGAACGGAUGUGGGAGUGGAAAAUCCAUGUCGUGACGGUAUCUUACCAGAAAGGGACGGCUAACUACGUGCCAGCAGCCGCGGUAAUACGUAGGUCCCGAGCGUUGUCCGGAUUUAUUGGGCGUAAAGCGAGCGCAGGCGGUUUCAUAAGUCUGAAGUUAAAGGCAGUGGCUUAACCAUUGUACGCUUUGGAAACUGUGAGACUUGAGUGCAGAAGGGGAGAGUGGAAUUCCAUGUGUAGCGGUGAAAUGCGUAGAUAUAU